RNAcentral lists this ribosomal RNA (253 nucleotides) under uncultured bacterium. RNAcentral's name for it is "partial 16S ribosomal RNA". It matches the Rfam family "Bacterial small subunit ribosomal RNA", at positions 524 to 776 of the family's 1533-position model. The record is from RNAcentral.
GACGGGGGGGGCAAGCGUUGUUCGGAAUUACUGGGCGGAAAGGGCUCGUAGGCGGCCAACUAAGUCAUACGUGAAAUCCCUCGGCUUAACCGGGGAACUGCGUCUGAUACUGGAUGGCUUGAGAUUGGGAGAGGGAUGCGGAAUUCCAGGUGUAGCGGUGAAAUGCGUAGAUAUCUGGAGGAACACCGGUGGCGAAGGCGGCAUCCUGGACCAACACUGACGCCGAGGAGCGAAAGCCAGGGGAGCAAACGGG